This 439-nucleotide ribosomal RNA is filed under the name uncultured bacterium. Its description in RNAcentral is "bacterial SSU rRNA". It matches the Rfam family "Bacterial small subunit ribosomal RNA", at positions 338 to 788 of the family's 1533-position model. The record is from RNAcentral.
CCUACGGGAGGCAGCAGUAGGGAAUUUUCGGCAAUGGGGGGAACCCUGACCGAGCAACGCCGCGUGAACGAAGAAGUUAUUCGUAAUGUAAAGUUCUUUUAUCAGGGAAGAAAGAGGAAUUUGACGGUACCUGAGGAAUAAGCUCCGGCUAACUACGUGCCAGCAGCCGCGGUAAUACGUAGGGAGCGAGCGUUAUCCGGAAUUAUUGGGCGUAAAGGGUGCGUAGAUGGCAUAGUAAGUCUUUUGUAAAAAUGCUGGGCUCAACCCAGUAGGGCAAAAGAUACUGCAAAGCUAGAGUAUGACAGAGGCAAGUGGAACUACAUGUGUAGCGGUAAAAUGCGUAAAUAUAUGUAAGAACACCAGUGGCGAAGGCGGCUUGCUGGGUCGAUACUGACAUUGAGGCACGAAAGCGUGGGGAGCAAACAGGAUUAGAUACCCC